This 695-nucleotide ribosomal RNA is filed under the name uncultured bacterium. RNAcentral's name for it is "bacterial SSU rRNA". It matches the Rfam family "Bacterial small subunit ribosomal RNA", at positions 32 to 715 of the family's 1533-position model. The record is from RNAcentral.
AACGCUAGCUACAGGCUUAACACAUGCAAGCCGCGGGGCAGCAUGGGCUUAGCUUGCUAAGCCCGAUGGCGACCGGCGCACUGGUGAGUAACACGUAUCCGACUUGCCCUUUACAAGGGGAUAGUCCUGCGAAAGCGGGUUUAAUACCCUAUGUGGCCUUGAUGUUGCAUGAUAUUGAGGUUAAAGGAGCAAUCCGGUAAAGGAUGGGGAUGCGUUCAUUAGGUAGUAGGCGGGGUAACGGCCCACCUAGCCUGCGAUGGAUAGGGGUUCUGAGAGGAAGGUCCCCCACAUUGGAACUGAGACACGGUCCAAACUCCUACGGGAGGCAGCAGUGAGGAAUAUUGGUCAAUGGAUGAGAGUCUGAACCAGCCAAGUAGCGUGAAGGAUUACAGCCCUAUGGGUUUUAAACUUCUUUUAUAUGAGAGUAACAUGCGCCACGUGUGGUGUAUUGCAAGUAUCAUAAGAAAAAGGAUCGGCUAACUCCGUGCCAGCAGCCGCGGUAAUACGGAGGAUCCGAGCGUUAUCCGGAUUUAUUGGGUUUAAAGGGUGCGUAGGCCGGCUGGUAAGUCAGCGGUGAAACGUCGUUGCUCAACAAUGACCGUGCCGUUGAAACUGUCAGUCUUGAGUGCAUCCAGUGCAUGCGGAAUUCGUGGUGUAGCGGUGAAAUGCUUAGAUAUCACGAAGAACUCCGAUUG